This 791-nucleotide ribosomal RNA is filed under the name Methylobacterium sp. RNAcentral's name for it is "bacterial SSU rRNA". It matches the Rfam family "Bacterial small subunit ribosomal RNA", at positions 61 to 895 of the family's 1533-position model. Lineage: Bacteria; Pseudomonadati; Pseudomonadota; Alphaproteobacteria; Hyphomicrobiales; Methylobacteriaceae. The record is from RNAcentral.
GUCGAGCGGGCCCUUCGGGGUCAGCGGCGGACGGGUGAGUAACGCGUGGGAACGUGCCUUCUGGUUCGGAAUAACCCUGGGAAACUAGGGCUAAUACCGGAUACGCCCUUAUGGGGAAAGGUUUACUGCCGGAAGAUCGGCCCGCGUCUGAUUAGCUAGUUGGUGGGGUAACGGCCUACCAAGGCGACGAUCAGUAGCUGGUCUGAGAGGAUGAUCAGCCACACUGGGACUGAGACACGGCCCAGACUCCUACGGGAGGCAGCAGUGGGGAAUAUUGGACAAUGGGCGCAAGCCUGAUCCAGCCAUGCCGCGUGAGUGAUGAAGGCCUUAGGGUUGUAAAGCUCUUUUAUCCGGGACGAUAAUGACGGUACCGGAGGAAUAAGCCCCGGCUAACUUCGUGCCAGCAGCCGCGGUAAUACGAAGGGGGCUAGCGUUGCUCGGAAUCACUGGGCGUAAAGGGCGCGUAGGCGGCGUUUUAAGUCGGGGGUGAAAGCCUGUGGCUCAACCACAGAAUGGCCUUCGAUACUGGGACGCUUGAGUAUGGUAGAGGUUGGUGGAACUGCGAGUGUAGAGGUGAAAUUCGUAGAUAUUCGCAAGAACACCGGUGGCGAAGGCGGCCAACUGGACCAUUACUGACGCUGAGGGCGCGAAAGCGUGGGGGAGCAAACAGGGAUUAGAUACCCUGGUAGUCCACGCCGUAAACGAUGAAAUGCCAGCUGUUGGGGUGCUUGCACCGCAGUAGCGCAUCUAACGCUUUGAGCAUUCCGCCUGGGGAGCCGGGGCUUAUUCCU